AAAGUCGUAACAAGGUUUCCGUAGGUGAACCUGCGGAAGGAUCAUUAUUGAACCCACUAUGAGAAGCUUCGGCUUCCAUUGAUAUUUAACCCUUUUGAUGUCCAUUACCUCAGUUGCUUCCACGGAUCCUUGGAUUCGUGGAUGGCCCACAACUAAAAACCCUUUGUAAUUAAGCUAUGUUUUGUCUGAAUAAACUUAAAAAUGUUUUAAAACUUUCAACAACGGAUCUCUUGGCUCCU
Molecule: unclassified non-coding RNA, 239 nt
Filed under: Ascomycota sp.
Lineage: Eukaryota; Fungi; Ascomycota
Description: partial contains small subunit ribosomal RNA, internal transcribed spacer 1, and 5.8S ribosomal RNA
Rfam family: Eukaryotic small subunit ribosomal RNA (bases 1-47)
Source: RNAcentral